This is a non-coding RNA of Apodemus sylvaticus (European woodmouse), 354 nucleotides long. The record is from the annotation of a RefSeq genome assembly. NCBI's taxonomy places the organism in Eukaryota, Metazoa, Chordata, Mammalia, Rodentia, Muridae.
AUGACAUACACUCUGUCUUUCCUUCUACAGGUGUCCACUCAGGUCCAGCUGCAACAGUCUGGGCCUGAGCUGGUAAAGCCUGGGGCCUCAGUGAAGAUUUCCUGCAAGGCUUCUGGCUACACAUUCACUGACUAUGAGAUGUCCUGGGUGAAGCAGAGUCAUGGAAAGAGCCUUGAGUGGAUUGGAGCUAUUAAUGCUUAUGGUGGUACUGGUUACAAUGAAAAAUUCAAGGGCAAGGCCACACUGACUGUAGACCAAUCCUCCAGCACUGCCUAUAUGGAGCUUAACAGAUUGGCAUCUGAAGACUCUGCAGUCUAUUACUGCUCAAGACACAGUGUUGCAACCACAUCCUGA